GACGAACGCUGGCGGCGUGCCUAAUACAUGCAAGUAGAACGCACAGUUUAUACCGUAGCUUGCUACACCAUAGACUGUGAGUUGCGAACGGGUGAGUAACGCGUAGGUAACCUGCCUGGUAGCGGGGGAUAACUAUUGGAAACGAUAGCUAACACCACAUAAUAUUAAUUAUUGCAUGAUAAUUAAUUGAAAGGUGCAAUUGCACCACUACCAGAUGGACCUGCGUUGUAUUAGCUAGUAGGUGAGGUAACGGCUCACCUAGGCGACGAUACAUAGCCGACCUGAGAGGGUGAUCGGCCACACUGGGACUGAGACACGGCCCAGACUCCUACGGGAGGCAGCAGUAGGGAAUCUUCGGCAAUGGACGAAAGUCUGACCGAGCAACGCCGCGUGAGUGAAGAAGGGUUUCGGAUCGUAAAGCUCUGUUGUAAGAGAAGAACGGGUGUGAGAGUGGAAAGUUCACACUGUGACGGUAUCUUACCAGAAAGGGACGGCUAACUACGUG
Molecule: ribosomal RNA, 505 nt
Filed under: uncultured bacterium
Lineage: Bacteria
Description: partial 16S ribosomal RNA
Rfam family: Bacterial small subunit ribosomal RNA
Source: RNAcentral